GUGGAGAUGACUUAUAAUGAUAGUUGUGUGACAAUGAUUGAUGUUAGUGAUUAAUAAUGUUGGUGGUGAUAAUUGUGAUGGUUGGUAUUGUAGUGACUAUUAAGUCGGUGGUGAUUGAUGGUGGUGGUGGUUGUUAUGAUGUGACAUUGCUUGAUGUUAGUAGUUUAAGGUGUUGAUUAUGUUGGCUGAAAAAUGAAUGCAUGAUGAUUGACGAUGUGUUGGUGCUAGUUAAAGAUGUUAUUUGUUGUGUGGUGGAGAUGAUUGUUAGUAGAGAUAAAUUAUAGUGAUGACACUGGUUGAAGUGGUGGUAGAGGUGGCGUUACUAGUGACAAUGGUGGUGGCGGCCAAAGAAUGUGUAGAGGUUAUGAUGUAUUAGUGGUAAUUAGUGGUGGUGCUAGUUGUGAUAUAUUAGUUGGUUGGUAGGAGAGAUUGGCCGGUAGUAGUUGUUGAUGUGUUGUUGUUGACGGCAGUGGUGGCGAUGAAUAUAAUUAGAAUAAAAGAGGUAGUAGGUGUGGUAGUGGUUGACAAUAGUGGUUGGUAGCGGUAUUUGUUGUCGAUGGUGGUUGUGAUGGUGGAGGUGGGUUGUGGUUGACAAUAGUGAAGUCCUUGAUAAAUUAAGUAGGUAUUUCUUAUAACCGAAGUUAUCAACACAUUUUUCAACUUUCAUCUAUUGUUUCCUCACAUAAUAUCGAAUUUUCAUAGCCAACGAUCUAUCAAAAACAUUUUUUUUACCCCACAAAAAUUGGGUGUAAGGUUUGAGUACACCACACCUUCCUUUCACCUAGAGAUUCAAACACUGGCAAGAACCAAGCAAAAUUCAUGACUAGAAAAUAACAGAAUCACCUGUAAUCAAUUUACUGGCAGUGAUAUCUAGCCAUCAAAUUUGGGGUCAGAGAUUAACAAGUUAAAAUAUUAGGUUUAAGAAUUGUGUUGGCUGAAGGGAUAAGGUGGUGACAUGAAGGACUGUGCCUAUUGGUGGCAACAAAGUUUGCUGGGUCGUCUUCUUGGAAAAUGACAGCGGGGGGAGGGGGUGGGGAGAAGGAUCGACUGGAAGGGAUCUUCCUAGAUAGUGGUGAAGGCUUUUGCCUACAUAUGGAUAUGGGAUUCGGUUGAAGGUUUAUGGCAUGAGAUCUAGUGUCUUAGGGUUAGAGAGCAAAGAAAUUUAGUAUGCAUUUUGGUGUGUGGGUGAGAAUAUUUUUCAAUUGUGAUGAUGGAUUUCUACAGAUAAAAUGGGUCAAAGGUGAGUGAGAGGUCAAUCCUCCAUGGAAAUUUAACUGGUAUAGAAAGGGAAUAAAGCAGCAUUUUGCUGAUGUCACUGAAAUAAGGUAAGACCAUCACCAAGUGUCAAAGUUUGCAAUGGUAAAAAGGAGACCUUCGCAUGCAUUUAGGGCCCAAAUGUAGGUCGAAGGCUAGUGGAAGAAAAAACAAAGUUGCAUGUGAAACAUUUCUUGAGGAAAUUAUUCCUUGAACCAAUAAUUGUGCAUUGAUGAUGACUUUGGUAUAGUUGAUAUCGGGAAUCGUAUUAAUUUGUACCAUAGGCCAUUGCAUUAAUUAGGUGCUUCAGAAAAGUUUCUCGCUGAGGUGCUCUCAACUACCCCACGGACAGCUCCUUUCCUGACAAAUCUCCAGAUUUUAUCACCAAAAUCAGACCAACCAGUAUUUAAAGAAACUUCCAAUCCCAUACAAAGUCUCAUUUUUACUUUUGUUGCAUGGCAAUCCUAAGCUAUUUAAAAUCCUGGAAGAUCAUGAAAGAGUAAGUGCUCUUUCUUCACCCACCCGUUGCUGACGUCUCCUGGCCUGUCUGAGACGGAGCAAUACUUGGCAAAUUCAGAACAUUAUCGAUCUACUCAGAUGUAUCUUACUGACAGAAUUUGGGUUUCAAACCAAAUGUCCUUCAUUGUGGGAUUCUCCGUAAUAUAAAAUGCACUACGUCCAUUGAUAAAAAGCUUUUUCUUUGGAUGAGAAAGGUUUUGAGAUGCAGCUAAUGGCUAAAGACGCAAGGGUUGGUUGAGGUUUGGUGUUCCGUUGAGAGUUAGUGUGGUUUGCAUCAGCGGAUCAGUGAAUCCAGAGGAGGAGGACCAUUUUGCCUAUCAUAUUCCACCAAUCGACAUUCCCUCAACAAUUAUUCUAUUAUUCUACACAAUCCACCUAUAAAUCAAAAAUGUUGACUGAAAAUGAAACAAAGUAUAGAUUAAAAAAGCACAGGAAGAAUGAAAUAGAGAGAAACAAAACAAGAAGGCCAAAAGCGAAUCAGAAGGAAAGAACUUUCAGCAGACAGCAAGAAAGAGACAUCUUAAAGAAAAAGAAAAAAGAAAGAAGCAAAUCAAGAGGAGAUAUAAGGAAGUAGUAAAUGAGUGGCAUUAUAAAUCAAAAAGAAGAUGAAAACAUGAAAAGUAAAUUGGAGUUCAAUCCAAGUACUCAGGUAGUAAAUGUCCUACUCUCUCAUCCUUCUGCACUUUCUUCCAACUUUUAAAUUAGAUGAAAGAACACAACCAUUUUACGCAUGGAUCACGUAGAGCCUAGCUGGAUGAAAAACACGCUUUAUUUGUGGCAUGUCACUUUAAGCCAUACAAAGCAACAAAAUGAUAACUUGCUUAGCAUCGCUCAAUUGCUUUCUCCUUAACAGUAAUAAAAUAUUCCGUGAUUGUAGCGCUUUCAGUCCAGUGGAUACAGCUAUUUACUCUAGCGAACAGAAUUUUCUGAAAAAACAUUUAUUCUGUAGAGUCAAUAUAAAGUUAGUAAGAAGUAGUUCAGAUGAGGUAUAACCAUUUUUUCCGAUAUAAUUUAGCAAAUCUUUUUUGACUAUGCUUAGGACACAAUCUAUACCAUUGUAAGUAAGUAAUACUUUCAAUUCAAUAAAUUAAUCCUACUAGAUAAUAGUGCUAGCAAUUUUCCCUCAUUCCUUGUUGAAAUAAUCCUUAACUUAUGUGUAGUAAAUCUCAAUGCUUUUUCCUUCCCGUCUUUCCAUAAAAUCACUACUGUUUUCCAGACUUAGAAAGGCCUUGAUUUUCAUGCUUCUCAAGCUCUUUUAAUGUUAAAUUUGUCUAAUAAAUUAUCCAUCAAAAGACCCAUUAAUCAAUAACUUUCUAUCCUUGGGCCUAAAUUAGCACAAUUCUGAAACCUUCAAGUUGUUGCAACCUGCCCAACAGAACUAGUAGUUCCUAGCAACACCAUUUUGAGGCACUGGAUCUUCGCAGCAAGAAAAUACGACAGAUAUGAUCAUAUGCAGGCUAAUAGACAUGGGAAACAGAGAGUUAUCUUUUUUAUAAGAAUACAUACCGGCAGGCUGUUGAGAAACGCAAGUGGCAAAGAGACGUGAAAGGUGAACAUCAAAAACUUUUCCAGUACAUAGGGAAGAUGUGCACCAAAUUUAGCUGGCCAACGAGGUUGACAUGAAGUCAAGAGAACUGAAUGCUUUAUUGAAAUUAUAUCACCCACAAAAACAAAGGUCUUAACACAGGGGUUCUCCCUGGAGUUAUCAUCAUCAACAAUGUGUGUGUUCUUCCAAGUUGCGAACAUUCUAGGGAAGAAGGGCUUGAAUAUAUGAUCUCCACCCAUGCUACACCAGUCGACAAAAGUGGAAGAAAGCAUGCUUCCUCCUGCACCAAAACAUCAGUUUUUUACACAUUCAAAUCCAUUUUGUGUGUGGUUGUGUUUGACCUAAUCGCAUUAGCAUAUUACAAACAACAGGAGCAAUAUUUUUAGGCAGCUCAUGGGAAACAUGCACAACUGGCAAAAUAAUAUAAAUGUGUAGCUUCUGGUCUCAAGGGGAGAACACUGAAUUGAGUACCUUGGAACAUCAGCAGCUGCUCCUAUUGCUAUGAAGUCUGCCCCAACCAUCACCACAUUUCUCAAGCUUCAAGACAUCCUUAGCAUAAAAACAAUGGAGUUCACCUCCAUCCCUUUGAUGGCUAACCUCAAGAUUGUCAUCCUCAGCCAUGGCCUGAUCCAAGCAUGGAUUGGUUAUAAAAGCACUUAGUUCAUCAGGACGAGAAGCUCCAUUGCCUUCCAACGAAAGAUAUUUGUCUUCUUCAACCAAAGAAGAGGGAAUACAAUAUCCUUUACCAACACUUCUUUUCAAAGAGUUCUCAAGAAGGCUAUGAUUCUGUGUGUUUUGAUGAGAGUGUUCAAAUAAUGCAGCAAUAAUUUGUGACCACUCCUGAGCAUUAUUAAUACGGAUAUCAUCCAAUGAUAUAAUCUAUAAUGACAUCACCAGGAGACAAAUAGCCAGACAAUGGUGAUGUUGGAGACACAUCCAGUACUUGCUCAAGGUCAUGUGAUGGGAACACGUUAGCCACAAUAAUGCCUAAUUAGGUUUACCAAAUUAGCAAAUAGCAGUACAAGAAUUAAUCCUCAAUUACCAUGGGACCUUCAUCAUGAAUGCAAAAUGGAUACAAGAUAAAGGGUUGAAGGAGCAAGGCCCAGGCACAAACAGCACAAAGCUGUAAGACAAUACACCCAGUUAGCUCAAAGAGUACAAAAUAUGAUAAACAAAAUGGAGAUCGACUAGCAUUAUUUACAACAAAGAGUUGCUAUAAGCACCCACAACUGCAUUAUGCCAAACACCAGCACAAUAUAUUCGAAGAGCAGAAACUUUGGAUAAUGCCUGCAGUAACUCAUGAUUGAAGUCCACUAGAGCGCCUGGAAAUAAUACAGAAAAAAAAAACAGCGAUGUACUCCAUUUGUAUGCCCUCACUGCUUUCCCAGAAUGUAGUGCCUACAGAAGCAGUUGUGAGAUUUAUGUACUGCCACUGCUAUGUCUAAAAACAUGUCAACUGAUCAGGUUUGUACAUACUAGUCAGCCAAUGUACAAUCAAAGUCCAAAGAUCAUGAAGAAUACCCUGAUAUUACAUAACCAGUAGUACCUAAAUGCCUAAUGUUCAAGCACAUGCUCCUUAAAUGCCUGAUAUUUCAUCUCAUAGCCUUAAAAGCUCAUUAUAAACAUUCUAUGCUCACUUUUAAUCAAUUCUCUCUCAAGAAAACCCUAGAACCUCAAAACUUAACCUCCAAGAAAUCAAAUUUCCUCCAUUCUUUUUUCAAGAUAGCUCAAAAUUAAGGAUUUCCAAUUCAAAAGAUUCAAGAAUUCAUCUUUAAAAGAACAAAUAGGGAUUCAAGUUUAAGCUUUCUUAGUAAUUGCAUCAAUUAAGGUAUGUGAGGUCUAUGAACAAGGAUCCUCUUUCAUCCUUGUGCCCAAAACUAGUUUUAAUUACAAAUUUACAUGAUUUUGUAUGAUUAUUCAUGAAUUUUAAAUUAGGGUGCAUACCUUUGAUGCCCCAGAAAAAAAGAAAAAUUUUCGUUAAGAUCUCGGACAAAAAUAUGUUGAAUUCUGUUCUUUAUCAUGAUUAAUAAUUUUUCUGUAUAAAAUUUCUGGAUAUGCGAUCCGUCAUCGCGUAGAGCAUCGAAUAAGCUUUCCAAUGAUAUAUGAAUCAUCCAAAACGUACACUCGAGCGAUGAGUUAUGAUCAUUCCGAUCUAACCGUGAAUAGUGGUGAACAGUAAAUGUGCCGGAAAAAAAAGUACUGAGGCCAGACAAAUUUUAGGGUCAACUUCAAACGAUCAUAACUCCUUGUACAUAAUGAUCUAGGUGAGAUACUGUAUCUUUCUAAUGAAAUUGAUUUCAUCCAAUUUGGCCAUCGAAGAAAAAAGUUAUAGUUGAUCUACUUCAGCCAAUCAAACAGUCAACCAAAGGACAGAUUUAACAUUAUUUGAUUUUUAAGGGUAUUUUGGUCAUUCCCACUCUAAUCCAUCCGAGUAAACCAUGGAUUUAAGUCCAUUAAGAGCAUUCAAUAGCUCAUUUUUCUCCAAAAUUUCCUAAGGCUCAAACCCCAACCCUACUACUCCAAAUUUCAUCCUUCUAUGUCUCUUGAUUGAACCGUAGAAAUUUUAAAUUGAUUUGGGAUUUGAGUUGAUCAUGUUAAGGGCUUCGAGAAGCACCCUUUAUUUUCGUGAAUAAAGUUUCAGAGUCGGAAGUUCAUAUUCAUCUUCCAUUUUUAGGUAUGUGGGGCUUUGAACAAGAUUAUUCUUUCGAUCUUGUGCUCGGUAUUUUUGUCGAAUUACAUUGACAUGAGAUUUUACAUGUUUUAGCAUGAAUUGAAAAUAUAGUUUUAUAUCUUAUAUUAUUGUCCAUGAGCUAUGGGGUUAUGUAAUCCGAUAUGUGUAUGAUGUUGAGAUGGAAUUAUGUCCAAAAAGUAUUUGAUUAUGAGAGUAUGAUGAUUUAAUUUGUUAAGCCUUGAUUUAUACUAUCAUUCCACUAUUUCCUUAUUAUGAAUUUAUAAUUGAUAUUGAAAAAUUAUAUAUCCCUACUAUGGGUUAAUGUCUCAAGUACCUUUAAAUGAGAGUUGGAUGGCAAAUUGAGAAAUGUUGAUAUUGAAGCUGCAAUGAAUCUUGGUAUUUUUUGGAUGGUUUUGAUGAGUUAAAUUGUUGAAAAUAUUAUGUAUUGAGUCUUCAUAUCCUUGUCCAAAUUUUGAGUCGGUUAUGGUUCAAUGUAUUGAUACCUUGUUGAUGUUGAGGGAGAUUAAAAUAUUUUGAGCCACAAUGUGUUGAGUUAGGAAUCCAAAAAUUGAUAUGAUUUGAUUUGAUAAAUGAGAAAGAGAUUUGAUUUGGUCUUUAUGAUAGACCCUUGUGAUGUUGUGGUGGAUUUUCUAAUGCGUUCUGAGCUUGUCGGGGAGUAGUACUUAGCACCGAGAGAGAAAUUUGGUAUUUCCCCAAACCUAUGUGCCACCGUAGGGUUAUUUGAUAAUGAUAUUAUUAGCCAGAGAGCCCGGUUAUAAUUAUUAUAGUUUUAAGGUCGUACUCCCUGGCAAAGAGUAUGACGCUCCCACCAAUGGGGGUUUUAAACGUUGGUAUUCCAUGUAGCUCAUGUGUGGUUGUCGGUUAUAGGAAACUCCCCUGUCCAUAAGAGUCAUGUUUAUUGAAAUACCGAGUCACUCCGAGUUUUGAUGUGGUAAGUCAAGUUGCCUAUGAUGAUCUAUAAUGAUUUAUGAGGUUUUUCUUCUACAUUUCCUAUCUAAGAUAUUAUGAGUUGCAUGAUUCAAUGUCACUCAAGCCAGGUGUGUCAUUGUGGUCCGUAUGUACAUUUUUACGAAAUUUAUGAUAUUAUUUAUAUUUUACAUGCGCCCCCACAUACUCAGUACGUAUCUCAUGCUGACCCACAUGUUUCUCUUGGGCUACAUUCUUACCAAGAUAUAGGUUCAGGUACUCAGCCGUAGCCGCAAUAGUGAUAUCCUAGUGUCGCAUCUACGUUCCCUCAGUGGUGAGUCCUCAUGGUUAGAGGACCAAGUUGCUAGUUUUGGUGCUGUUAUUUUGUGAUCCCUUUGGUAUGUUGAGUCAAUUGGGGGUUUGUUCCAAUGAGUCAUUGAGUUUGCUGUAUAGAGGCUAUGUCAGACUAGUGUAUUGUUGGGUUGGUUUGUGUAUAGAUAUUCCAUAUAUGUACAAUCCAACGAUAUUCUAUGCCAUGUGCGAUGUGAUAUGAUAUGUACUUAUAUAUAUAUCCUUAGCGUAGCGUGUGUGUUGUUGUGUUGGAACCCAAGGAUAGUGUUUUGGCUUAAAGGAUUAGCUUGAGGCUACGUGUAGCCUUGGGCACCAUGUGGCAUCUCGGGAUGAUAUUUCGGGGCGUUACAAUAGCCAAUAUUGCUAAUUGAAGGAUUUUGAGCUUUGAAGAGAGUUAGAUGAUGGAUUUCAUGUUUACUUUCGUAUUUUUAUGCGUUUGACAUUAUUUUCUAGAUUUUGAGUUAAAUUAUCACUACCUUCAUUAUUAAGCAUGAAUAUUAUUAUAUUUUGACAUGAAUUUGACGCAUGGGUAUUAAGACCUAGUUGAAUAUUGCUAUUUCAAGAUUGAAUAUGCUAUGAUCACCCUAUGACUAGAGUAUUUGUAGAUUUUCGAUAAAGAUUUGAUCUUUUGAUCUCAUCUUAGAUAUCGAAUCCACUUUUCAGUUUCAGACUACCUAUAGUUUAACUUAACAAAUAUAUAGUUGGUUUUCGUAAUGAACCAUUAUACUAAUUUUAAGGUAAAUUUCCAAUAGAAUGAGCAUACAGAUUAAAAGGAGUAGUAUUUAGCAUUGAGUUAGGUAUGUUCUCAUGCCCCAGAACUACGAGCCAACAUAGGUUCAGAUUAUGAGAUUAUUCCCAUUUCUAUAUGGAUGAUAGAUAAAGAUGUGAUCACUUAAAUUAGGUUAUACUUCUUAGCA
Molecule: long non-coding RNA, 8185 nt
Filed under: Capsicum annuum
Lineage: Eukaryota; Viridiplantae; Streptophyta; Magnoliopsida; Solanales; Solanaceae
Description: long non-coding RNA (CANN_LNC000957)
Source: RNAcentral